CCCUCGCGCCAUCAGUAUGAGUGCCAGCCGCCGCGGUAAUACAUAGGUGGCAAGCGUUAUCCGGAUUUAUUGGGCGUAAAGCGUGCGUAGACGGUUGUGCAAGUCUGAGGUUAAAUUUAGGGGCUCAACCCUAACCGCCUUGGAAACUACAUUACUAGAGUAUAGGAGAGGUUAGUGGAAUUUUCAUGUGUAGCGGUGGAAUGCGUAGAUAUAUGAAGGAACACCAGUGGCGAAGGCGGCUAACUGGCCUAUUACUGACGUUGUGGCACGAAAGCGUGGGAGCAAAUAGGAUUAGAUACCCUAGUAGUCCACGCCGUAAACGAUGAGUACUAAGUGUUGCCAUGAGGCAGUGCUGUAGUUAACACAUUAAGUACUCCGCCUGAGUAGUAUGCUCGCAAGAGUG
Molecule: ribosomal RNA, 403 nt
Filed under: uncultured bacterium
Lineage: Bacteria
Description: bacterial SSU rRNA
Rfam family: Bacterial small subunit ribosomal RNA
Source: RNAcentral